Molecule: long non-coding RNA, 990 nt
Organism: Lingula anatina
Lineage: Eukaryota; Metazoa; Brachiopoda; Lingulata; Lingulida; Lingulidae
Source: RefSeq, a predicted model, not a curated record
GUAAGCCCCUCACAGUGGAUCAGAUGUACGAGGACUUCAGCCAGGAUCAUGCCAAAAAAACUGUUACCAUGGAGACACAUCCUCACCUGCCUGGACCACCAAUGGCAUCAGUGCAUCCCUGCAGACAUGCCGAGGUGAUGAAGAAGAUAAUUCAGACUGUCGCUGAGGGAGGCGGGGAGCUUGGGGUUCAUAUGUACCUUAUGAUUUUCCUCAAGUUUGUGCAAGCAGUCAUUCCAAGUAUAGAAUAUGACUACACAAGACACUUUACUAUGUAGACCAGUAGGAGAGCAUGAGUUUCCGUAUCAGAGUGUCACGUAACAUGAUAUUUUACUGUAUAAAUCAGAAGGACGACAUAAAUUUCUAUUGGCAUUGAAUAUUACUUAAAACAAAUGACUUGAGUGGGUGAAUAAUUUGGAUUACACGUAUUUCCAGUAUGGAAGAUGAUUACUUAAGUCAUUUUCCAUGUAAAAACAGAAGAUAGCAUCAGUUGCUUAGAAUUUGAAGACAAAACCAAGACCCCAUUGAAAAACUGCCCCACCCUUGUUAUGCAAAGGAGAACUGACUAUUCUUUAUAUUAAAUGUAUGCCUUUCAAGGCAGGAGAUAUUCUUAACUGUUGGUAAGGCAGAACAUAAAAUUUACAAUUUUAUUAAAGAAUUUAAAAAAAGAACUCAGGCUAAGUAUGAUUCAUCAUUAUAAGUAAAAGCUGUAUUAAUUCCGUUAAUAGCCAGGGAGUGCAUUUAACUGAAUGGUUUAAUUUUCAGAGAUGCCCAAAAAAAAUGCAAAAAUAUUGUAGAAAAGUCCGCCUGAGUAACGUUGUGUAAACUCCUUUUGUUUGAGGAGGCGGACAUUUGUAAAUCAGAGAAACAGUCACUACAGGGUAAAAAUUGCGCCCACUGUAGAUACAAGAUUUUGAAUUUAUGUAAGUAGCUAUAGCGUGAGUGACACUGACCUGUGUUCUUACAAAUAAAUAAAUCAGUGAAUAAUAUAAA